Long non-coding RNA from Gorilla gorilla gorilla (western lowland gorilla), 897 nucleotides. RefSeq lists it as uncharacterized. The transcript is spliced from 6 exons. NCBI's taxonomy places the organism in Eukaryota, Metazoa, Chordata, Mammalia, Primates, Hominidae. The record is from RefSeq and is a predicted model, not a curated record.
CGCUGCAAGCUCCGCCUACCAGGUUCACGCCAUUUUCCUGCCUCAGACCCCGGAGUAGUCGCGAUUACAGGCGCCUGUGCAAUCUCUAUGGUAACCACAUUUCCCAGUUGUCUACUACCGGUAAUAAAAUCAAAUGGAUUCAGUGCUCACAACUCUUCAGUCUCUGGGCUACUUUCCAUUCUUGAGUUUUUAGCUGAAUUCAUCUCUUUGGCUGGAUUUUGUGAAUCGGGCAGCCGUUAGAACCAAAACAGUUCUGAGGAACUCCCAGGCUGCCGUGUGGUGUGAAAUGUUUUAUGGACAGAAAAUGGAAAUGAGGUGCAGAAACUGGAGAAACCUUCCAUAAUAAAAACUUGGAUAUAAUGAAAUUUUGCAUAAAUGACAUGUGGCAACCUAAUUUGGUGGAAGCCAGGGAACCUGGGCAGAGAGUUAUAUUUUUCAUCUUCACGUUGAGUAGAGAAUCCAUGAAAAUCUAAUACCCAGUUAUCACUCAAGUGUGACAAAUAGAAAGGAGCUUCAGAAUAGGAUCUUCAGUUCUACCAAAUGUCUCUGCCUAAUUACAUCAAUAUCCAUGUUGGUCGAGGAUUGCUUACUAAUGUUUGAGAAGCAAUAAUGAUAUGGCAAGAGAGAGAUGAAAUUUCAGUCUUUAUUCAAGAUCAAGUGCAACUGUCUCUUUGAGGAAAGUCCUUUGACCCCCAUUUCUCCCCUUCAGAAGGCAAGCACCUGGGGGAGAAGAUCUGUUUAAGGACCUGGUAACUGACAAAGAAUGGAAUGGGAGCGAGAACCGCCUAGCCAUCCCUUCUCCUUGCACAGUCAUGAAACAAAGUUGAAAAGGAGCCCGGUUUUACUUGACCAGUCAUAAAUUACCAUAAAAUAAAAUGAGAUAUUAGGAACCUUUGA